Molecule: ribosomal RNA, 208 nt
Filed under: uncultured bacterium
Lineage: Bacteria
Description: partial 16S ribosomal RNA
Rfam family: Bacterial small subunit ribosomal RNA
Source: RNAcentral
CGCGCAGGCGGCCUGGGAAGUCUUGGGUGAAAGCCCCCAGCUCAACUGGGGAAUGGCCUGAGAAACCACUAGGCUGGAGUGCUGGAGAGGGAAGCGGAAUUCCCGGUGGAGCGGUGAAAUGCGUAGAUAUCGGGAGGAACACCAGAGGCGAAGGCGGCUUCCUGGACAGACACUGACGCUGAGGCGCGAAAGCUAGGGGAGCAAACGG